GAUGAACGCUGGCUGUGUGCCUAAUACAUGCAUGUCGAGCGAAGCACUUUUGUGCUUAGCGGCGAAUGGGUGAGUAACACGUACUUAACCUACCCUCAAGAUUGGGACAACACUUGGAAACGAGUGCUAAUACCAAAUACGUAUUUUUAUCGCAUGAUAGAUAUAUAAAAGGAGCUUCGGCUUCACUAGAGGAUGGGAGUGCGCUACAUUAGUUAGUUGGUAGGGUAAUGGCCUACCAAGACUAUGAUGUAUAGCGGGGCCGAGAGGCUGAUCCGCCACACUGGGACUGAGAUACGGCCCAGAUUCCUACGGGAGGCAGCAGUAGGGAAUUUUCCACAAUGAACGAAAGUUUGAUGGAGCGACACAGCGUGCAGGAUGAAGGUCUUCGGAUUGUAAACUGCUGUUAUAAGAGAAGAAAAACCCUGGUAGGUAAUGACCAGGACUUGACGGUACCUUAUCAGAAAGCGACGGCUAACUAUGUGCCAGCAGCCGCGGUAAUACAUAGGUCGCAAGCGUUAUCCGGAAUUAUUGGGCGUAAAGAGUUCGUAGGUGGUUUUGUAAGUCUGAAGUUAAAUACCGGGGCUCAACCCCGGCCCGCUUUGGAUACUGCAAAACUAGAGUAAUAUAGAGGUUAGUGGAACUCCAAGUGAAGCGGUGGAAUGCGUAGAUAUUUGGAAGAACACCAAUGGCGAAGGCAACUAACUGGAUAUUAACUGACACUGAGGAACGAAAGCGUGGGUAGCAAACAGG
RNAcentral lists this ribosomal RNA (750 nucleotides) under uncultured bacterium. RNAcentral's name for it is "bacterial SSU rRNA". It matches the Rfam family "Bacterial small subunit ribosomal RNA", at positions 28 to 776 of the family's 1533-position model. The record is from RNAcentral.